AAAACAGGUGCAAUUUGUUAACCUUAUUGCUACAUGUUUCGUAAGGACAUCACAGGCAAAUCUAGUCAUUCGCAAUGACGAAUUCAAUUCAUUCGGCGCUGACCAAAGAGAGCGUAUUGUGGUGUCACGCCGAAGAUUAGCGGCAAACUGAAGCAGCUUCGUCCUCACUGAGGAAACUAUCGAAAUGUACAAUGUGUUAACCAGGAAGCCAGGAUCUCUCCUUGCGCGUGCCUGGGAUUCAAAGAGAGGCUAAGCGAGGUCCAGCUUUUGUGUUCAGCAGGUCCACCCAGCACUUCACAUCAAGGCCCUCUUCAUUAACCGUCUGCAGAGACACAAAGGCCUGCUCCCCACCAGCUCCAUCGUAGCUCAUGUAUGAAGAGUCCAUCCACCUACGCUCAUGAAAUGCACUUUAAAUACAAUCUAAUAAUAAUGAUGAAAUGUAAAAAUGGAAGUAAUGAUCCAAAGAUAUGAGUAUAUGUUAUUAUAUUUUUAUUCAUGUAAUUGAUUAUGAUUAUCAUCACAUAUACAUUUUUGGCCAGCGUAUUUCAUUGAGAUUUAAAGUUAUUAAGCUUUUGUAGUAUUUAGCCUUUCUGUGUAGGUGACCUUUGUCUCACAGCAAUGGUAAAACCUUUAUCCAUGGGACUGAAUUAAAGAAAAGCCAUAAAAAAUACUUGCCUGUUUGUUAUCUCGGUAAAGGACAAGUAAGUUUAACUUGAGCAAAUGUCCGUUUAAUAAAACUGUAUAAUUAACAGACCGAGGAGACACAGCUGCACUUUUAAAUCACUUCAUUCUUUUUUAUUGUCUUGUGUUUUCCUAGCAGGCAAUAACAGUUUUAUGAGUCAAACACUUUACAUUUUAACACAGAAGUUCCUUAUUAAGGAUUCCAGACAGCACAUGAGGAGGCAGCAAUAGGGAAGCCAUUAUACGAAAUGUUACAACCCCCCCCC
Anguilla rostrata (American eel) is the source of this 947-nucleotide long non-coding RNA. RefSeq lists it as uncharacterized. The transcript is spliced from 2 exons. The record is from RefSeq and is a predicted model, not a curated record. NCBI's taxonomy places the organism in Eukaryota, Metazoa, Chordata, Actinopteri, Anguilliformes, Anguillidae.